CCUACGGGCGGCAGCAGUGGGGAAUAUUGCGCAAUGGGCGCAAGCCUGACGCAGCAACGCCGCGUGAAGGAAGAAGGCUUUCGGGUUGUAAACUUCUUUUCUCAGGGACGAAGCAAGUGACGGUACCUGAGGAAUAAGCCACGGCUAACUACGUGCCAGCAGCCGCGGUAAUACGUAGGUGGCAAGCGUUAUCCGGAUUUACUGGGAGCAAAGGGCGGGUAGGCGGGGACGCAAGUCUGAUGUGAAAACCACGGGCUCAACCUGUGGCCUGCAUUUGAAACUGUGUUUCUUGAGUACUGGAGAGGCAGACGGAAUUCCUGGUGUAGCGGUGAAAUGCGUAGAGAUUAGGAGGAACACCGGUGGCGAAGGCGGUCUGCUGGACAGCAACUGACGCUGAGGCGCGAAAGCGUGGGGAGCAAACAGGAUUAGAUACCCUAGUAGUC
Molecule: ribosomal RNA, 443 nt
Filed under: uncultured bacterium
Lineage: Bacteria
Description: partial 16S ribosomal RNA
Rfam family: Bacterial small subunit ribosomal RNA
Source: RNAcentral